RNAcentral lists this long non-coding RNA (1739 nucleotides) under Homo sapiens (human). RNAcentral's name for it is "HSALNT0408874". The record is from RNAcentral. Lineage: Eukaryota; Metazoa; Chordata; Mammalia; Primates; Hominidae.
AAGUCAUUUCAUUGCUCCCAGUCUCAGAUCCUUCAUCUGUUGAUAGAGAUAAAAACCCUGACCAUGAAAUGUUGGGAGAAUCUAAUAAAGUAAUGUCUGCCAAAGCACUUGGACAUGAUGUAUUCAGUUCUCUGAAUAGUAGCAUUACACUUGUUCGCUAUUGGAGGGCUCAGUUAUAUGGGGGGUGUUGUGACAGCAGAGAUACUGUUGUACUCUUGCACGUGUUCCUAAGCCCAGCGUCCUGAGUGCUACCCAACAUGUGCAUCUUGGCUCCAUGGAAAUCCAGCAGGCUGGAACCACUAGCAUCCCCAGUAGACUGAGGCCAUUAGUAGUCCUGCCCAAGAAGAGCAGCUUGUAAAAGUAAUACCCCAGUGUAGAUUCUGGGAUCACAUCUUCCUUUAACAUCCAGACAAUGGGAUGCAGUUGUUGAUGUGAUCACAGUUUAAGGGCUGUUGUUUGAACUGGCUGGCUUCUGCCUGUGCAUCCCACUUCGAUACUUUUCUCUGACAAGAAAGAAAGCAAUCAGUAGGAAUGUGUUGAUGAGAUCAUAAAAUUUAAGAUUUGAGAAUGUUAAAAGGUGUUCAAUUAUGCCAGAGUUUGACCAAAUGCAGGCUGGAAUAGAAGGACUGAAUAAUCAGAAGCUAUUUAGUGAGUCACAUCCUUUUAGGGAGCAAAAGUAUCUAAGGAAUAAGAUGGGUGUGAGUUGGGACUAGGUAUUGCUUCAGGUCACCUGGGUGCCAUUCAGCAAUUAAGCAUAGCCUUAAUGGAAGAGAAGCAAAAGUGUAGCUGGCAGCCACCCCUCCUUUCCUCUUCCCAGGGCAUUUCUCUAUUUCAUUUAGGCAGGCACUCGAUACCUCUUGCCUGUAUAUUGCAACAGAUAGCCUCCUAGCUGUUCUUCAGCUUCCCAUGCCUUCCUUCUCUGGCCUCUUCUCUUUCCAGCAUUUAACAUAAAGUGGUGCCAGGUACCUCUUUCUAAGGCUUAGUUCUAUCAGCUUCGUCCUGUACUCAGACUACGACAGCUAAGGAACAGAAUCUCCCCUCCCUAGCUUCUUGUCCAUAGGCUUUCCAAUAAACUGAGCAGCCUAUGCCCCUCUGUUCUCCUUCAUGUGCGCUCAUUUCCAGCAGAACUAGACCCCUUACCUCUUGCUGAACACACCCUGAAGUUUUCUGCCUCUGAUAUAUAGCAGUUUACCUAAAUGUAUUUCUCCUUCUUGUGAUUUUACUUGUCUUUUGUCAGUAUCAUCUAUUUUACUAAGCUUCUUUUGACACCCUAACACCAAAUGAAAGGGAUUUACUUCCUCAGAACUCACAUUGUCUGUGUGAUUGAACUUCUCUCCUGGCUUAAAUUCAUGUGCUCAUGACUUGUUUGUCUCUCUCAGUGGACAGUAAGCUCCUUGAGGGCCAGGACCUGUGCCAGAUGCAUGAUUGUCACAUUUUGCCUCUGGGCCCUACAGAACCCAUGAUAAAUGUUGUAGUGGCCUUACCCCACCAGACUCCAAAGCUUGCAAAUACUUUGAGAUCCUGUGGGAGAUGAUAAACUGCAUUGCUCCAAAUUAAUAUUUUCCUGAUCCUCUCCCUCCUCCCACCCUCUGCUUGCAGAGCUUGCAAAUACUUUGAGAUCCUGUGGGAGAUGAUAAACUGCAUUGCUCCCCUUCUCAGGACUUCAGCUUUCUGGACUACAAAUCAGGGGGUUUGCCAAGUUUGCUUUUCAAGGCCUUGGCUAGUUCUAGGAUUCUGAC